This is a long non-coding RNA of Diceros bicornis minor, 2482 nucleotides long. RefSeq lists it as uncharacterized. The transcript is spliced from 4 exons. The record is from RefSeq and is a predicted model, not a curated record. NCBI's taxonomy places the organism in Eukaryota, Metazoa, Chordata, Mammalia, Perissodactyla, Rhinocerotidae.
GGGGAGCGCUCCAGAGAGAAGCAGCCGCGCAAAGGCCCUGGGGCAGUGCGAGUGUGGGCUCAAUGGGAGCCCCAUGAGGCUGUGUGUGCAGCGGCGAGGGGAGAUGGGAGCCAUGGGCAGAGUCACCACAGGCCUGGGGCCUUGGAUGAAAUGGGGGCCACUGGAGGGUUUGAAGACAGGAGGGACAGAAGGGGUUUCAUAUUAAAAAGAGUGGUGUGUGUUACGCAAAGGAACUCACACAAUCCGCACCCCCUCCAAGCUGUUGGCCCCCACCCCACAAGCACACCUGGGGGCCAGGCCUGGGCUCAGGGGCGGGGCCUCAGGGGGCACCUGCCUCCCGAUGGGGGAGGCCCCCCUACAGCCCGCACAUCCUCAGAGGCUCCAAGGCCUGUCCAAAGGUUGUGACCUGUUCGUGAGGCUUGAGGGCUGGGACAAAUAAGUUCACCCCCAGGAUCCUCCACCGCUGUCCACUUGGGGCAAAGCCGUGGCCAGCUGGGUGGCUGGAAACAGACAAACAGACAGACAGACGAGCUUCCAGACACAGCUGCUCCAGCCAUCUCCUCCACCCCCGCCCCCUCCAUCUCUUUGUUUCUGUCCCUCCCCCAGCUCCCCGCCACGGCCACCCUCCCAUUCCUCUCCUCCCAGGAGACACUCUGCCUGGACGUCUCUCAGCUCUCAGCUCUCUCUGUUUCUGUCUCUUUCUCUCUCUGUCUCUCUGUCCUCUGACUCCCCUCUCCCGCCCUGCCCCCCGUUUCCCGAUCGAUACACUGAUUUCUGGGCACAGCCUAAGUGGGGUUUGGCUGCCUCUCUGGUGUCUGGUCGAUGGUGCGCAUUUCCUGGCUCUUCCCCAUGCUGGGGGCAGCGGGGUCAUGAGCUGCUGUUGCAGCAAAAUCGACUCGAGCUUUCUGCAGGUCCCCAGGAAAGGUGCCAGGGACCCACAGUGGGACAUCAGGGUGUGCAGCCCCCAGGCCCCCAUCAGUGGGGGGGGGCUUGUGGGCUCAGAGACCUGCAGGAGCCCCGCCUGUGCCGUGCCCCCUUGGGAGGUCUGGCUUCCGCAUCAGGCUGGGUGGAGCUGGCCCUUCCCGGGUACACUGAGGCAGAACCCGGCAGGCGGGAGGUCCUGGAGUCUGAGCUUUCCCACCCUACAGCCUGGGCCUCUCAGCUGCUCCAGAGCAGGGAACCGUGGAGAUCCCCUUGGAGUCCCCACCACCGCCCACCCGGCAGCCUACCCACAGGUUUCAUCUACAAGGUCUGGGAAGAGCCAGGCACCAGGGUUAGGGGCAGGAAGGAACCCAGCAAGGCAGACCCCAAGCCACAUCUCCCACCCGAUGCCCGGACCCAGUGACUCAGCCGUGAGCACCUCCGACGGAGGAGGCCUGGCCUGGUGCAGCCCAAGGGCGGCAGGCAAGCCCCGAGACACACGGCCUCGAGGACCAUGGAAAGCCCUGGGGUUCAGGGGCGCCUCGUGCCCAGGCCACUCCUCACACAGCCAGAGCCCCCAGGGCAGGGCCCCGUCUCCUCUUGGAUGAGGCUGGAGCAGCUGCCCCGAUGCCUGCCCUCUCCAGACCUCGGCCACCCUUCCAGCCUGGCCACUGGAGGGACAUGCCUUGGGGACACAGAGCACCUGUGCUAAGCAUUCGGGCCUAGCUGCCGGCUCAGCCUCGCACGCCUGCUCCCGUUCUGGGCCUCAGUUUCCCCCUCUGCGGGAAAACAGGCACGACGCUCUCAUUGCCCCCCUCACGGGGAAGAUUGCCCAGAUGAUUCCAGAGAGGGUGUGGCCACCAGCUCACAGCCAACCCCCCAGCCAGACCUCACAGCCCGCAGGCCUGCUCCCCAACAACCCUGUUGCGAAUCUCAGAAGGCAACAACAAACACCUCCCGGAUGCCCUCUGUGACUCUGCCCACAGGACAGAGACGGUUCUCCAGGUAAUUAGGCCAGGAUCUCUGCCUCCCGGUGCUGCUGUUGUCCCCGGCAGGUGUGUGCGGGGGCAGGAAAAUCGGGGGACAGCUGCACUCUUCCUGACCUCCCUGGCCCAUGGGCCACUGGCAGCAUGUGUGGACUGCGUUUACGGAAAUCUCCCCACUUGAACAAGCUAAUUCACACUACAGCAAGAGUGGCCAACAGCUCCUUCUCCCUCCUGGAAAGUCCUGGCAUCUUAAAGCAGAGAUUUACAGAAGAGUCACACAGGUGGGACAAAGGGCUCCCACACACACUUGACCAGCUUACGCUAACAUCAACCACGAUGCAUUCAUCAAAGCUAAGUGAUCCGCUCGGUGCAAGACCAUCAACCAAACUACAGGCUUUAUUGGGAUGUCACCACUACUUCCACUAAAGUCGUUUUUCUGUCCCAGGAUCCAAUCUGGGAUAUCAUGUUGUAUUGAGAUUAAAGUCAAUUUUUAAAAAGAGAAAAAUAUGUCUUAACUUGAAUUAAAACUAUGGGGAGGGCUGGCCCCGUGGCUUAGCAGUUAAGUGCGCGCGCUC